AACAACAGGGAUUGCUCAGUAACGGCGAGUGAAGCGGCAACAGCUCAAAUUUGAAAUCUGGCCUCACGGUCCGAGUUGUAAUUUGUAGAGGAUGCUUUUGGCGAGGUGCUUUCCGAGUUCCCUGGAACGGGACGCCAUAGAGGGUGAGAGCCCCGUACGGUAAGACCACCGAGCCUCUGUAAAGCUCCUUCGACGAGUCGAGUAGUUUGGGAAUGCUGCUCUAAAUGGGAGGUGUACGUCUUCUAAAGCUAAAUACCGGCCAGAGACCGAUAGCGCACAAGUAGAGUGAUCGAAAGAUGAAAAGCACUUUGAAAAGAGGGUUAAAAAGUACGUGAAAUUGUUGAAAGGGAAGCAUUCAUGACCAGACUUGGGCUUGGUUGAACAUCCGGCGUUCUCGCCGGUGCACUCUGCCAGUCCAGGCCAGCAUCAGUUUGCCCCGGGGGACAAAGGCGGUGGGAAUGUGGCUCUCUUCGGGGAGUGUUAUAGCCCGCCGUGUAAUGCCCUGGGGCGGACUGAGGAACGCGCUUCGGCACGGAUGCUGGCGUAAUGGUCAUCAAUGACCCGUCUUGAAACACGGACCAAGGAGUCGUCUUCGUAUGCGAGUGUUCGGGUGUCAAACCCCUACGCGUAAUGAAAGUGAACGUAGGUGAGAGCUUCGGCGCAUCACCGACCGAUCCUGAUGUUCUCGGAUGGAUUUGAGUAAGAGCAUACGGGGCCGGACCCGAAAGAAGGUGAACUAUGCCUGUAUAGGGUGAAGCCAGAGGAAACUCUGGUGGAGGCUCGCAGCGGUUCUGACGUGCAA
Molecule: ribosomal RNA, 802 nt
Filed under: Sarocladium strictum
Lineage: Eukaryota; Fungi; Ascomycota; Sordariomycetes; Hypocreales; Sarocladiaceae
Description: eukaryotic LSU rRNA
Rfam family: Eukaryotic large subunit ribosomal RNA
Source: RNAcentral